Molecule: long non-coding RNA, 879 nt
Organism: Callithrix jacchus (white-tufted-ear marmoset)
Lineage: Eukaryota; Metazoa; Chordata; Mammalia; Primates; Cebidae
Source: Ensembl
AUGCCCCAUGGGAGGUGUGUGUGCUCAGACCAAGGGUGGAAGCUGUUAGGGGCAGUUAUCAUGGGACAUCCGCCAUACGCUGGCAAGGAAGAUGGUCAGUUCUUCUGGUCCACAAAGGCCCCCGGAGUCCUGGAAUGGUUGAUUCUUCCACGCAACGGAGUCCCCAUGGAGCCGUGGAGUCAGUGUGCCCUGGCAUACAUGGUGCACCGCAUGCUAGCAGGUGGCUCAGGACGUUAUGAUGGGACGUCCCCCAUAACCUGGCAAGGAAGAUGGUCGGCUCUUCUGAGGCACAAAGGCCUCGAGUCCUGGUGUUGGUAUGGCCUGGCCUCCACGGUGCACCCCUGCUGGUGGAUGGCUCAGGACGGGGCAGUUGCCUUGAGAGGCCCGCUGCAUGCUGCCACAACAGAUGUUCGAUUCUUACAAGCAACGGAGUCCCCAUGGAGUCGUGGAGUCAGUGUGGCCUGGCAUCCAUCGUGCACCUUGUGGUGGCAGGUGGCUCAGGGCGGGGCAGUUAUCAUGGGACAUCCGCCAUACGCUGGCAAGGAAGAUGGUCAGUUCUUCCGGUCCACAAAGGCCCCCAGAGUCCUGGAGGGCUGUGCCCUGGAGAGACCUGCCAUGUGCUGCCGCAACAGAUGGUUGAUUCUUCCAAGCAACAGAGUCCCCAUGGAGUCAUGGAGUCAGUGUGCCCUGGCAUCCAUGGUGCACCCCGUGCUAGCAGGUGGCUCAGGACCGGGCAGUUAUCAUGGGACAUCCCACAUAUCCUGGCAAGGAAUGUGGUCCAUUCUUCUGAGCCGCAAAGGCCCCCAGAGUCCUGGAGUCAUUAUGGCCUGGCAUCCAUGGUACACCCCUGCUGAUGGAUGGCUCAAGAUGUUGCCUUGA